UACGAAGGGGGCUAGCGUUGUUCGGAAUUACUGGGCGUAAAGCGCACGUAGGCGGCUUUGUAAGUUAGAGGUGAAAGCCCAGGGCUUAACCCUGGAAUUGCCUUUAAGACUGCAUCGCUAGAAUCGUGGAGAGGUAAGUGGAAUUCCGAGUGUAGAGGUGAAAUUCGUAGAUAUUCGGAAGAACACCAGUGGCGAAGGCGACUUACUGGACACGUAUUGACGCUGAGGUGCGAAAGCGUGGGGAGCAAACAGG
RNAcentral lists this ribosomal RNA (253 nucleotides) under uncultured bacterium. RNAcentral describes it as "partial 16S ribosomal RNA". It matches the Rfam family "Bacterial small subunit ribosomal RNA", at positions 524 to 776 of the family's 1533-position model. The record is from RNAcentral.